Molecule: signal recognition particle RNA, 297 nt
Filed under: Saimiri boliviensis boliviensis (Bolivian squirrel monkey)
Lineage: Eukaryota; Metazoa; Chordata; Mammalia; Primates; Cebidae
Description: Metazoan signal recognition particle RNA (ENSSBOG00000002738.1)
Rfam family: Metazoan signal recognition particle RNA
About the family: The signal recognition particle (SRP) is a universally conserved ribonucleoprotein. It is involved in the co-translational targeting of proteins to membranes.
Source: RNAcentral
GCCAGGCGCAGUGGCACAUGCCUGUAGUCCCAGCUACAGGAGGCUGAGGCUGGAGGAUAGCUUGAGCCCAGGAGUUCUGGGCUGUAGUGCGCUAUGCUGAUCAGGUGUCUGCACUAAGUUCGGCAUCAAUAUGAUGACUUCCCAGGAGCCAGGGAUGACCAGGUUGCCGAAGGAGGGGUGAACUGGCCAAUAUUGGAAAUGGAGCAGGUCAAAACUCCUCUGCUGAUCAGUUGUGGGAUCGUGCCUGUGAAUAGCCACCGUACUCCAGCCUGGGCAACAUAGCCAGACCCUGUCUCU